CGGGGUGUAGCGCAGUCUGGUAGCGCAUCUGCUUUGGGAGCAGGAAGUCGGCGGUUCGAAUCCGUCCACCCCGA
RNAcentral lists this transfer RNA (74 nucleotides) under Candidatus Endolissoclinum faulkneri L2. RNAcentral's name for it is "tRNA-Pro (TGG) (tRNA-Pro-TGG-1-1)". It matches the Rfam family "tRNA". Rfam says of the family: Transfer RNA (tRNA) molecules are approximately 80 nucleotides in length. The record is from RNAcentral. Lineage: Bacteria; Pseudomonadati; Pseudomonadota; Alphaproteobacteria; Rhodospirillales; Rhodospirillaceae.